CCUUUACUGCAGCUUCGCAGUGGCGCCAGGAAGGGACUGUGUAGGAUAGGUGGGAGGCUUUGAAGCCGGGGCGCUAGCCUUGGUGGAGCCAACCUUGAAAUACCACCCUGUGCCUUUCUGGCGUCUAACCGAACCCCGUUCAUCCGGGGUCGGGACCCUGCGUGGUGGGCAGUUUGACUGGGGCGGUCGCCUCCCAAAUGGUAACGGAGGCGCGCGAUGGUGGGCUCAAGCCGGUCGGACAUCGGCUGUUGAGUGCAAAGGCACAAGCCCGCCUGACUGCGAGCCCGACAGGGCGAGCAGAGACGAAAGUCGGCCUUAGUGAUCCGGUGGUCCCGCGUGGAAGGGCCAUCGCUCAACGGAUAAAAGGUA
This 369-nucleotide ribosomal RNA is filed under the name uncultured alga. RNAcentral's name for it is "bacterial LSU rRNA". It matches the Rfam family "Bacterial large subunit ribosomal RNA", at positions 2098 to 2465 of the family's 2925-position model. The record is from RNAcentral.